Molecule: ribosomal RNA, 253 nt
Filed under: uncultured bacterium
Lineage: Bacteria
Description: partial 16S ribosomal RNA
Rfam family: Bacterial small subunit ribosomal RNA
Source: RNAcentral
UACGUAGGGUCCGAGCGUUGUCCGGAAUUAUUGGGCGUAAAGAGCUCGUAGGCGGUUUGUCGCGUCGGCUGUGAAAACUCGGGGCUCAACCCCGAGCCUGCAGUCGAUACGGGCAGACUAGAGUGCUGUAGGGGAGACUGGAAUUCCUGGUGUAGCGGUGAAAUGCGCAGAUAUCAGGAGGAACACCGGUGGCGAAGGCGGGUCUCUGGGCAGUAACUGACGCUGAGGAGCGAAAGCGUGGGGAGCGAACAGG